Molecule: ribosomal RNA, 500 nt
Filed under: uncultured bacterium
Lineage: Bacteria
Description: partial 16S ribosomal RNA
Rfam family: Bacterial small subunit ribosomal RNA
Source: RNAcentral
GACGAACGCUGGCAGCGUGCUUAACACAUGCAAGUCGAACGGGUCUGCCCUGUUUUUUGCGGGGUGGGUCAGUGGCGAACGGGUGAGUAACACGUGAGUAACCUGCCCCUCACUUCUGGAUAACCGCUUGAAAGGGUGGCUAAUACGGGGUGUUCUGGCUGUGCCGCAUGGUGUGGCUGGGAAAGAUUCACUUUUGUGGUGUUUUGGUGGGGGAUGGGCUCGCGGCCUAUCAGCUUGUUGGUGGGGUGAUGGCCUGCCAAGGCUUUGACGGGUAGCCGGCCUGAGAGGGUGGGCGGUCACACUGGGACUGAGAUACGGCCCAGACUCCUGCGGGAGGCAGCAGUGGGGGGUAUUGCACAAUGGGCGGAAGCCUGAUGCAGCGACGUCGCGUGAGGGAUGGAGGCCUUCGGGUUGUGAACCUCUUUCGCCGGUGAAGAAGGUCCUGCUCUUUGUGGUGGGGUUGACGGUAGCCGGGUUAUGAAGCGCCGGCUAACUACGUG